This 482-nucleotide ribosomal RNA is filed under the name uncultured bacterium. Its description in RNAcentral is "partial 16S ribosomal RNA". It matches the Rfam family "Bacterial small subunit ribosomal RNA", at positions 30 to 507 of the family's 1533-position model. The record is from RNAcentral.
AUUGAACGCUGGCGGCAUGCCUUACACAUGCAAGUCGAACGGUAACAGGUCUUCGGAUGCUGACGAGUGGCGAACGGGUGAGUAAUACAUCGGAACGUGCCCGAUCGUGGGGGAUAACGAGGCGAAAGCUUUGCUAAUACCGCAUACGAUCUACGGAUGAAAGCGGGGGAUCUUCGGACCUCGCGCGGACGGAGCGGCCGAUGGCAGAUUAGGUAGUUGGUGGGAUAAAAGCUUACCAAGCCGACGAUCUGUAGCUGGUCUGAGAGGAUGAUCAGCCACACUGGGACUGAGACACGGCCCAGACUCCUACGGGAGGCAGCAGUGGGGAAUUUUGGACAAUAGGCGAAAGCCUGAUCCAGCCAUGCCGCGUGCAGGAUGAAGGCCUUCGGGUUGUAAAAUGCUUUUGUACGGAACGAAAAGCCUCUUUCUAAUAAAGAGGGGUCAUGACGGUACCGUAAGAAUAAGCACCGGCUAACUACGUG